RNAcentral lists this ribosomal RNA (433 nucleotides) under uncultured bacterium. Its description in RNAcentral is "partial 16S ribosomal RNA". It matches the Rfam family "Bacterial small subunit ribosomal RNA", at positions 29 to 507 of the family's 1533-position model. The record is from RNAcentral.
AACGAACGCUGGCGGCAUGCCUAACACAUGCAAGUCGAACGAGACCUUCGGGUCUAGUGGCGCACGGGUGCGUAACGCGUGGGAACCUGCCCUUAGGUUCGGAAUAACUCCCCGAAAGGGGUGCUCAUACCGGAUAAUGUCUUCGGACCAAAGAUGUAUCGCCUCUGGAUGGGCCCGCGUUGGAUUAGCUAGUUGGUAGGGUAAAAGCCUACCAAGGCGACGAUCCAUAGCUGGUCUGAUAGGAUGAUCAGCCACACUGGGACUGAGACACGGCCCAGACUCCUACGGGAGGCAGCAGUGGGGAAUAUUGGACAAUGGGCGAAAGCCUGAUCCAGCAGUGCCGCGUGAGUGAUGAAGGCCUUAGGGUUGUAAAUCUCUUUUACCCGGGAUGAUAAUGACAGUACCGGGAGAAUAAGCACCGGCUAACUCCGUG